This is a long non-coding RNA of Monodelphis domestica (gray short-tailed opossum), 1681 nucleotides long. The record is from Ensembl. NCBI's taxonomy places the organism in Eukaryota, Metazoa, Chordata, Mammalia, Didelphimorphia, Didelphidae.
AUGACAGAAGGCAUGGCACACGUUCAUGCACAAAUAAUCCAUCACCCAGCCGGCCACUACAGACCUGACCCGAGUGUGGGUCCAGUCCUCCAAGUCCUCAUAGGAAGGCUGCAGGGGGGUGGAGGGCCUCGAGGGCCCAUCGAACUCCUCAAUCCGAAUGAGCUGAAACCACAUCUCCUCUUCAUCAUCGUCUCUGGACGAAGGCCCAGCUGCCUCAGAGUCAUCAUCAUCCUCAUCCUCAUCAUCCAGCAAAUCCACUAUCUCCACCUUGCUCUCGUUCACCACCUCCACUAUCUGCACAUCAUCAUCAUCAUCCUUCACCUCCACCACCUCCACUACCUGCACUUCAUCAUCCCUAGUCUCCACCACCUGUACAUCAUCAUCUUCGUCCACCACUUCUACUACAUUGCCUGUCUUGGCCUGCCCCGCCGCCGCUGCCGCCCCCGCAGGGGCUGUCGAUGGCCCUGCCACCUCCGCCGCAGGGGCUGCCGCUGCUGCCGCCGCCGCCACCGCGGCCGCGGCGCCGGGCACCUCUCCUCUCUCCCCCGAGUCUCCCGUCUGCCCCGUCUCGGACCUCUCCCCAGGGUGCGCGGGCUCCCCUGGGGGCGCGGGCUCCCCCGGGGCCGUGGGUUCCCUGGGCUCCCUUGGUUCCCUGGGUUCCCUGGGCUCCCCAGGCUCUGAGUCCUCGUCCCUUUCUCUCUUCACCACCACCUCCGGGACUCGGGCGGCUGUUUUCGCCGUUGCCUUUCCGGAGGCCCUCCUCCGGACCCCCACAUCCUGGGUCUGAUAGGGGGCAGGCCCAGAGGAUCUUUCUCUGACCACCUCCAGGACCCAGGAUGGGCCGCUCCUCUGCCAGCAGAUCACCCCAUGGCUUGGGGACGAGCCUGGCUUCCGCCGAAGCACCACUCGGACUGGGUUCGGGCCCGAGAUCGACUCCGACCCAGAGGACCGGUACCGGUGCCUGUGCCGAACCGACUCUCGGGCCGGGCCCGGGGCCGGGCCCGGGGCCGGGGCCGGGCCUGGGGCCGGGGCCGGGGCCGGGCCUGGGGCUGGGGCUGGGCCCGGGGCAGGAAUCGGGGCCGGGGCUGGGCCCGGGGCUGGGCCCGGGGCGGCCUUGUUCUGGGCCACCUCCCGAGGAGGAGGCGAGAGAGGUUCGGUCUUCACCCUGACUGGAAUGGGUCUUUGAGGGAUCACCUCUCGGCCCGAGACGUGGGCGGAGCCCGGGACAGCUGUGGCUCGGGCAUGACCCGAGGUCCGGGCAGGAGCCGGAGCCGGGACUCGGAACAGGGCCGGAGCGGGGGCCGGGGCUCGGAACAGGCCGGGAGCGGUCCGGCUCCGGCCUGAAGACGAGGCCGAGGUACGGCCCGAAGCAGAGGCAGGAGCCCGGCCCGGAGCAGGGACCCUGAACAAGGACGGACCCGAGGUCGGGGCUCGGAACAGGGACGGAGCCGGGGCCGGAGCUCGGAACAGGGACGGAGCUGGAGCUCGGGCCGGAGCCGGAGCCGGAACUCGGAAUAGGGACGGAGCCGAGGUCGGGGCCCGGAACACGCCCGGAGCGAUGACAGGGCCUCUGGGCCGGACCGGAGUUGGGGCCGGACCAGGGACCCGGGCUGGGACCGGAGCAGGGGCGGUAGCGGAGGCCGGAGCCGGGGCCCGAGCCGGACCUGAAACGGGAACCGGA